AUGUCUCCGGUGAAGGUGUUCGGGCACCCGAUGUUGACAAACGUCGCACGGGUGCUGCUCUUCCUGGAGGAGGUCGGCGCCGAGUACGAGCUCGUGCCCGUCGACUUCGUCGCCGGCGAGCACAAGAGGCCCCAACACGUCCAGCUAAACCCGUUUGCGAAGAUGCCUGGGUUCCAAGAUGGCGAUCUCGUCCUGUUCGAGUCGCGCGCCAUCGCCAAGUACAUCCUCCGCAAGUACGGGGGGACAGCCGGCCUCGACCUCCUCGGAGAAAACAGCGGAAUCGAAGAAUUAGCAAUGGUGGACAUGUGGACGGAGGUGGAGGCCCAGCAGUACUACCCGGCCAUCUCGCCCGUGGUGUUCGAGUGCAUCAUCAUUCCCUUCAUCAUUCCUGGCGGUGGCGCGGCGCCGAACCAGACCGUCGUCGACGAGAGCCUGGAGCGGCUGAGGGGUGUGCUGGGGAUCUAUGAGGCCCGGCUGGAGAAGAGCAGGUACUUGGCCGGGGACUCCAUCAGCUUCGCCGAUCUGAACCACAUCCCGUUCACCUUCUACUUCAUGACCACCCCGUACGCCAAGGUGUUUGAUGACUACCCCAAGGUGAAGGCCUGGUGGGAGAUGCUCAUGGAGAGGCCCGCGGUGCAGAGGGUCUGCAAGCAUAUGCCUACGGAGUUUAAGCUAGGUGCACAGUACUAG
Molecule: ribosomal RNA, 690 nt
Filed under: Triticum aestivum (bread wheat)
Lineage: Eukaryota; Viridiplantae; Streptophyta; Magnoliopsida; Poales; Poaceae
Description: partial small subunit ribosomal RNA
Source: RNAcentral